CGACUUCGGUCAAAUGACUUUUGAACUUAGUGGCGGACGGGUGAGUAACGCGUGAGCAACCUGCCUUUCAGAGGGGGAUAACAUUUGGAAACAGAUGCUAAUACCGCAUAAUGUUUCUGGACCGCAUGAUCUGGAAACCAAAGAUUUAUCGCUGAAAGAUGGCCUCGCGUCUGAUUAGCUAGUUGGUGAGGUAACGGCCCACCAAGGCGACGAUCAGUAGCCGGACUGAGAGGUUGAACGGCCACAUUGGGACUGAGAUACGGCCCAGACUCC
Molecule: ribosomal RNA, 273 nt
Filed under: uncultured Oscillospiraceae bacterium
Lineage: Bacteria; Bacillati; Bacillota; Clostridia; Eubacteriales; Oscillospiraceae
Description: partial 16S ribosomal RNA
Rfam family: Bacterial small subunit ribosomal RNA
Source: RNAcentral